GAUGAAGAACGUAGCGAAAUGCGAUAAGUAAUGUGAAUUGCAGAAUUCAGUGAAUCAUCGAAUCUUUGAACGCACAUUGCGCCCACCAGUAUUCUGGCGGGCAUGCCUGUUCGAGCGUCAUUUCAACCAUCAAGCCCAGGCUUGUGUUGGGGGCCUGCAGCUGCUGCAGCCCCCUAAAAGCAGUGGCGGACUCGCUGUCAUACCGAGCGCAGUAGUUACAUCUCGCUCUGGGCAUGGCGGCGGGCACCUGCCGUAAAACACUCUUUCUAAGGUUGACCUCGGAUCAGGUAGGAAUACCCGCUGAACUUAAGCAUAUCAAUAAGCGGAGGA
This 330-nucleotide unclassified non-coding RNA is filed under the name soil metagenome. Its description in RNAcentral is "partial contains 5.8S ribosomal RNA, internal transcribed spacer 2, and large subunit ribosomal RNA". The stretch from base 1 to 120 matches the Rfam family "5.8S ribosomal RNA", at positions 35 to 154 of the family's 154-position model. The record is from RNAcentral.